RNAcentral lists this ribosomal RNA (267 nucleotides) under uncultured bacterium. RNAcentral's name for it is "partial 16S ribosomal RNA". It matches the Rfam family "Bacterial small subunit ribosomal RNA", at positions 793 to 1055 of the family's 1533-position model. The record is from RNAcentral.
GUCCACGCCGUAAACGAUGAUAACUAGCUGUCCGGGCACAUGGUGCUUGGGUGGCGCAGCUAACGCAUUAAGUUAUCCGCCUGGGGAGUACGGUCGCAAGAUUAAAACUCAAAGGAAUUGACGGGGGCCUGCACAAGCGGUGGAGCAUGUGGUUUAAUUCGAAGCAACGCGCAGAACCUUACCAGCCUUUGACAUCCCGGUCGCGAUUACCAGAGAUGGUUUUCUUCAGUUCUGCUGGACCGGUGACAGGUGCUGCAUGGCUGUCGU